UGCGCUGAUGAGUUUGCUCAGACUAGAGUCUCUGAUAUAUGUUCUGAUGUCUCUUUCAAGCCCUGAGCA
Molecule: small nucleolar RNA, 69 nt
Organism: Euleptes europaea (tarantolino)
Lineage: Eukaryota; Metazoa; Chordata; Lepidosauria; Squamata; Sphaerodactylidae
Product: small nucleolar RNA SNORD52
Exons: 1
Source: RefSeq, a predicted model, not a curated record